UGCACCUUGAUCCAUGUUCAGUCCAGCCCUAAUCUGAGGAGCCAUGACACCCUCCCCCACCUAAGCCGAAGUUGCCCCCGAUGAGGUUAGGUGGUAAUUGUUGAUGAUGUCCUCAAACUACCAUAGUUUGUUACCAUACUCCUAGCUUGCUUCUGAGUCUGAUAGUCCUCUCCAUCGGACUAAGUAUUGCACUUGACUGCCCUUC
This 205-nucleotide long non-coding RNA is filed under the name Elaeis guineensis (African oil palm). Its description in RNAcentral is "long non-coding RNA (EGUI_LNC053304)". Lineage: Eukaryota; Viridiplantae; Streptophyta; Magnoliopsida; Arecales; Arecaceae. The record is from RNAcentral.